GGGGAUGACUGGUUUCGACUUGGAACGAUAGUUUCUUGAGAAGCGGGCCGAGGACUCAGGGUUAUCUCGUUAACGAUCCUUGAAAAACCAAUAAGUGCCAACUCUGUUCGCACCGACUAUGCUCUUGCUGCCUGAUCAGUAACCAUAGGGUCAGCCUGGGGGUGCCUCCCCUCCAGAUACUGGCCUCAUUUUGGAGGCUUAGUUGUUUAUUCUCGUCCUAGGAGUAGACAAUGAAACUUAUAGGACUGGGCUUGUUCAUGACGUGCUUGGGAGAGCGUGAGAGCCGAGUAAAGCGGUAACGCAAGCUGCGCCCGGAGAAUGCAAGUGACGUCUUUCGAGGACGGGGGUUCGACUCCCCCCAUCUCCACCC
RNAcentral lists this transfer-messenger RNA (370 nucleotides) under Propionibacteriaceae bacterium. It matches the Rfam family "transfer-messenger RNA". From Rfam's summary of the family: Bacterial tmRNA, also known as 10Sa RNA or SsrA, is named for its dual tRNA and mRNA-like properties. Its role is to liberate the mRNA from a stalled ribosome. To accomplish this part of the tmRNA is used as a reading frame that ends in a translation stop signal. Lineage: Bacteria; Bacillati; Actinomycetota; Actinomycetes; Propionibacteriales; Propionibacteriaceae. The record is from RNAcentral.